UGUGUGUGUGUGUGUGUGUAUUAUGUCCGCGCUGACAACAACAGGGCUUGAUCCACUGCAAGUGAAGUGAAGGACUGUUAUCUUAAGAGAGAUGGAAUACUGAGCCAGCAGAGAGUGUAGAGAAUGAGAAGAUUAACAGAAGCAGGAAGCAGAGGGAAAUUCCAUGUCCUUUCUACUUUGAAAUAGGAGAAAAGAGACAGAUAAACUGAAGGAAUGAAGACAAAGUGGAAGUGCCUAAACAUUUCAAGUUUAAUAACCUGAGCUGAACAACGUUACACACGAAGGAGCUGGAACGUAUUAGCGACUCCAGUGAAGAGUUCUCAGCAGGAAGAAGAAGCAGAUGAUUCACCACCCUUUGUUUAUGUGUGAGUUACACUUAUGGUAUUCGUUGAUUUUUUUUUUGUUUUGGUUGAACAGGUUUUAAAUUCAAUGAGAUAAAGAUGGUUCAAAUCUGUAUAAUGAAUUACAGAACACAACACUGUGACAAAUAACCUGUUUACUUAAAUGAGGACAACAGAAGCAUAUGGGUUUCAUGCAGAACUUGAUGAAAGUCAAGAAAAGAAUUUCGAUGUCACUGGCCACACACACACACACACACACACACACACACACACACAGACACACACACACACACACACACACACACACACACACACACACACACACACACACACACACAAACACACACAAACACAACAGCAUCUCUGCUCUCUCAGGGCAUGACUUGUGGUGUUUCCGGUUCAGGGUUGUCUUCUUGUGGGCUCGUAAAUUACAGCACCUACUAAAUUACUGCACCCUCACUCAUGCUUUACAGAAACCAGACCCUCUUUAUCCUCUCCAUGUGCUCUCUGUGAGAUCAUACCCCCUCAACUCUGACCCCUGUGAGCCUGACCCUGUUAUCUUGGUAUCUCAUGCUGUGUGUGUGUG
Ictalurus punctatus (channel catfish) is the source of this 927-nucleotide long non-coding RNA. Lineage: Eukaryota; Metazoa; Chordata; Actinopteri; Siluriformes; Ictaluridae. The record is from Ensembl.